This 370-nucleotide long non-coding RNA is filed under the name Brassica napus (rape). RNAcentral's name for it is "long non-coding RNA (BNAP_LNC000203)". The record is from RNAcentral. Lineage: Eukaryota; Viridiplantae; Streptophyta; Magnoliopsida; Brassicales; Brassicaceae.
UAGAAAAACAAAUAACCAUCUUUUUGGUCUUAGGAGACAUUAAAGAAAAUAUUGGAGCAAAGUCUUUACAAAUAGCCAAAAUAAAAUAUGAGAAUAUAAAUUUUUGGGGAAAAAAGGAAAGAUAAGAAGGUAACCAAGGAUAAUAUAAGUGCUACAAAAUCGAAAACGGGUAUGUAACAGUGUACGGAGGGGCGUAUCGAACACUUUAGCCUGGGGUUCAAAAGGAAAGAGUUUAAGGAAAGUGUACGGAGGGGCGUCUCAAACUAUUUUAUAUUUUUAAAAUAAUCAGUUGAAGUCUUCUUGUUUUUUUGGUUUUAGUAUUAAGGUUGAUGUCUUCUUGGCGAGCACACUGUUCAAAAUAACAAAACAA